Molecule: ribosomal RNA, 253 nt
Filed under: uncultured bacterium
Lineage: Bacteria
Description: partial 16S ribosomal RNA
Rfam family: Bacterial small subunit ribosomal RNA
Source: RNAcentral
UACAGAGGGUGCGAGCGUUAAUCGGAAUUACUGGGCGUAAAGCGUGCGUAGACGGCUAUCUAAGUCGGGUGUGAAAGCCCCGGGCUUAACCUGGGAAUGGCGUUUGAAACUACGGAGCUGGAGUGUGGCAGAGGGAGGUAGAAUUCCACGUGUAGCGGUGAAAUGCGUAGAUAUGUGGAGGAAUACCGAUGGCGAAGGCAGCCUCCUGGGCCAACACUGACGCUCAUGCACGAAAGCGUGGGGAGCAAACAGG